AACGAACGCUGGCGGCAGGCUUAAUACAUGCAAGUCGAGCGGGCCCUUCGGGGUCAGCGGCGCACGGGUGCGUAACGCGUGGGAACAUGCCCUUAGGUACGGAACAGCGUCGGGAAACUGACGCUAAUACCGUAUAAUAUCUCCGGAUCAAAGAUUUAUCGCCUAAGGAUUGGCCCGCGUUAGAUUAGGUAGUUGGUGGGGUAAUGGCCUACCAAGCCGACGAUCUAUAGGGGGUCUGAGAGGAUGAGCCCCCACACUGGAACUGAGACACGGUCCAGACUCCUACGGGAGGCAGCAGUAAGGAAUAUUGGACAAUGGGCGAAAGCCUGAUCCAGCCAUGCCGCGUGAGUGAUGAAGGCCUUAGGGUUGUAAAGCUCUUUUAGAUGGGAAGAUAAUGACUGUACCAUCAGAAUAAGCCCCGGCUAAAUUCGUGCCAGCCGCCGCCGUAA
Molecule: ribosomal RNA, 449 nt
Filed under: uncultured bacterium
Lineage: Bacteria
Description: partial 16S ribosomal RNA
Rfam family: Bacterial small subunit ribosomal RNA
Source: RNAcentral